This 253-nucleotide ribosomal RNA is filed under the name uncultured bacterium. RNAcentral describes it as "partial 16S ribosomal RNA". It matches the Rfam family "Bacterial small subunit ribosomal RNA", at positions 524 to 776 of the family's 1533-position model. The record is from RNAcentral.
UACAGAGGGUGCGAGCGUUAAUCGGAAUUACUGGGCGUAAAGGGCGCGUAGGCGGUUAUUUAAGUUAGAUGUGAAAUCCCUGGGCUUAACCUAGGAACUGCAUCUGAUACUGGAUAGCUGGAGUGCGGUAGAGGGUAGUGGAAUUUCCGGUGUAGCGGUGAAAUGCGUAGAUAUCGGAAGGAACACCAGUGGCGAAGGCGGCUACCUGGACUGACACUGACGCUGAGGCGCGAGAGCGUGGGGAGCAAACAGG